RNAcentral lists this ribosomal RNA (548 nucleotides) under uncultured Glomeromycotina. Its description in RNAcentral is "SSU rRNA". It matches the Rfam family "Eukaryotic small subunit ribosomal RNA", at positions 548 to 1097 of the family's 1831-position model. Lineage: Eukaryota; Fungi; Glomeromycota. The record is from RNAcentral.
UUGGAGGGCAAGUCUGGUGCCAGCAGCCGCGGUAAUUCCAGCUCCAAUAGCGUAUAUUAAAGUUGUUGCAGUUAAAAAGCUCGUAGUUGAAUUUCGGGGUUAGUAGGUUGGUCGUGCCUCAGGUAUGUACUGAUCUCACUGAUUCCUCCUUCCUGAUGAACCGUAAUGCCAUUAAUUUGGUGUUGCGGGGAAACUGGACUGUUACUUUGAAAAAAUUAGAGUGUUUAAAGCAGGCUAACGCUUGAAUACAUUAGCAUGGAAUAAUGAAAUAGGACGUUCGAUCCUAUUUUGUUGGUUUCUAGGAUUGACGUAAUGAUUAAUAGGGAUAGUUGGGGGCAUUAGUAUUCAAUUGUCAGAGGUGAAAUUCUUGGAUUUAUUGAAGACUAACUACUGCGAAAGCAUUUGCCAAGGAUGUUUUCAUUAAUCAAGAACGAAGGUUAGGGGAUCGAAGACGAUCAGAUACCGUCGUAGUCUUAACCAUAAACUAUGCCGACUAGGGAUCGGAUGAUGUUAAUUUUUUAAUGACUCAUUCGGCGCCUUACGGGAAA